This 1185-nucleotide ribosomal RNA is filed under the name Triticum aestivum (bread wheat). RNAcentral describes it as "partial small subunit ribosomal RNA". The record is from RNAcentral. Lineage: Eukaryota; Viridiplantae; Streptophyta; Magnoliopsida; Poales; Poaceae.
AUGCCGGUGACUUAUCGGACUCCGGCGACGGCGGCGGCGGCGGCGAAAGUGCGUCGGGGCGUCUGGGCGUCGGGGAGCUCCGGCGACUCCCAGGGCCUCGGCUUCGCUUCGGAAGGGCAUCGGGGGCGGUCGGGGGAUCCCGGAUCCUUCGGGAUCCGGUCGAUCUCCGGCGAGGUCGGUGGCGUGGGCGAGGGGGGAAGGAGAGGGGCGGGGCCCACGGGUCAGCGAGAGGGAGAGAGGGGCGAGGGGGUCGGGUGGCCGAUGCCAACGGUGAAUCCUACGACCGAUGAGCUUAUUAGCCUAGAUAUGAUACUGAUGGAUGAGCAGUUAAAGGAAAUAAAAGGAUCUUCGGAAGUUUUCCCGGAAUAUUACUUUGAGUUUGCUACCAUGGACACACUAGAAGAAAGGGCGGAAAAAGAUACACAAUGCUCAGAUGUCAUUGGACUACUAACUCAAAUGAAGCCAGUGGAGACAAGAAUAACAAAAAGGAACCCACAACCUUCAUAUAUCCGCAAGAUUGAAAUCCUAAUGCCAGAGGGUGAUAAAAUCAGAAUCACGUUGUGGGGAAAGUUUGCUUAUUUUUUGACCGAGGAUGUAAUCGGCAGCCAAACUGUCCUUAUUAUCACAUCAACGAUGGUGCAGAGAUUCAAUGGUUUGUGCCUAAAGUCAACGAGUGCCACAAGGAUAUAUAUAGAUCUGGAUAUACCAGAAAUACAAGAACUUCUUGAUAGGAACUCAGCCGAAGAAACCUUACCAAAGAUGGGCAGUAUAGAUAGAAGUAAUCAAGGAACACUAGAAGAACAGAUGUUUUAUAGGAGGAGAACAUUAGAAGAACUUACUGCAAUGAGGCACGGAAACCAGCCAGACCAGGAAUCAUGUGUUAGGUACCCUGUUCGACUCCAAAUUAGUGACCAUACAUCUACUACAAGUUGCACUUUAUUUGAUGAGGAGGCUACAAGAUUGCUUAAUACAUCUGCAUCUAAUCUGCUGGACACACAGGAUGGGAAAUCGGAAGAAGCGCCAAAGAUUAUUCAACAAUUAUGUGGAAAAAGACUCAUAUUUAGAUUCAAGCUCAAUGAUAAUAAUCUAACAUUUGGCACACAAAACUAUGCCGUAAAAAGAACAUUUGUGCCUGAUGAUAGGCUUGAGAUGCUCUAUUUGGACAAUAAAGCCGAGGAGUCAUAG